GGCCCCGUAGCCAAGUGGAAUAAGGCAUAGCUCUGCAAAAGCUUGAUCAACGGUUCAAAUCCGUUCGGGGCCUCCA
Molecule: transfer RNA, 76 nt
Filed under: Candidatus Phytoplasma oryzae
Lineage: Bacteria; Bacillati; Mycoplasmatota; Mollicutes; Acholeplasmatales; Acholeplasmataceae
Description: tRNA-Cys
Rfam family: tRNA
About the family: Transfer RNA (tRNA) molecules are approximately 80 nucleotides in length.
Source: RNAcentral